This 74-nucleotide transfer RNA is filed under the name Candidatus Dojkabacteria bacterium. RNAcentral describes it as "tRNA-Val". It matches the Rfam family "tRNA". From Rfam's summary of the family: Transfer RNA (tRNA) molecules are approximately 80 nucleotides in length. Their secondary structure includes four short double-helical elements and three loops (D, anti-codon, and T loops). Further hydrogen bonds mediate the characteristic L-shaped molecular structure. tRNAs have two regions of fundamental functional importance: the anti-codon, which is responsible for specific mRNA codon recognition, and the 3' end, to which the tRNAs corresponding amino acid is attached (by aminoacyl-tRNA synthetases). tRNAs cope with the degeneracy of the genetic code in two manners: having more than one tRNA (with a specific anti-codon) for a particular amino acid; and 'wobble' base-pairing, i.e. permitting non-standard base-pairing at the 3rd anti-codon position. The record is from RNAcentral.
GGGCGGUUAGCUCAGCUGGCUAGAGCACUGCAAUGACACUGCAGAGGCCAUAGGUUCAAGUCCUAUACCGCCCA